UUGGAGGGCAAGUCUGGUGCCAGCAGCCGCGGUAAUUCCAGCUCCAAUAGCGUAUAUUAAAGUUGUUGCAGUUAAAAAGCUCGUAGUUGAAUUUCGGGACCAAUUUGUUGGUCGUGCCUCGGUACGUACUGGUAUUAUUGGUUUCUCCCUUCUGAAGAAUCUCGAUGCCAUUAAUUUGGUGUCGUGGGGAAUCAGGACUGUUACUUUGAAAAAAUUAGAGUGUUUAAAGCAAGCAUACGCUUGAAUACAUUAGCAUGGAAUAAUGAAAUAGGACGUUUGAUUCUAUUUUGUUGGUUUCUAGGAUCGACGUAAUGAUUAAUAGGGAUAGUUGGGGGCAUUAGUAUUCAAUUGUCAGAGGUGAAAUUCUUGGAUUUAUUGAAGACUAACUACUGCGAAAGCAUUUGCCAAGGAUGUUUUCAUUAAUCAAGAACGAAAGUUAGGGGAUCGAAGACGAUCAGAUACCGUCGUAGUCUUAACCAUAAACUAUGCCGACUAGGGAUCGGAUGAUGUUAAUUUUUUAAUGACUCAUUCGGCGCCUUACGGGAAAC
RNAcentral lists this ribosomal RNA (548 nucleotides) under uncultured Glomus. RNAcentral's name for it is "SSU rRNA". It matches the Rfam family "Eukaryotic small subunit ribosomal RNA", at positions 548 to 1098 of the family's 1831-position model. The record is from RNAcentral. Lineage: Eukaryota; Fungi; Glomeromycota; Glomeromycetes; Glomerales; Glomeraceae.